This 16888-nucleotide long non-coding RNA is filed under the name Setaria viridis. Its description in RNAcentral is "long non-coding RNA (SVIR_LNC011113)". The record is from RNAcentral. Lineage: Eukaryota; Viridiplantae; Streptophyta; Magnoliopsida; Poales; Poaceae.
CCGGAGAAGCCAAGAACUUACCUAACCCUUGAGUACCUCCUUCCCGGAUGAAUGAGCAAAUCAAUCACGAGUGGGGAAGGCCUACCGCCAUCAAUAAAAUGUAACACUUUUCUAGAAGCUACGACUACCAAUACCGCUGAUGUGUCAUACUCUACUUCAAACUCUAUCUACUCAAUGAAGCAAGCAAUUUGAUGGACGACACCUUUGUAACAACUCUAACUAAAUUAAGUGAUUUUAAAAGUAAACCAGUGGUUAAUCCCUAAUUAAAGAGGUUAAAUGACCAUUUUAACCCUAAGAAGCUCUUUUUGGAGUUUGAAAUAAAACAUGGAAUUUUAUAUGAAAAUCUAAAAUUCUGCCCAAAUAAGAGUUGUAAAACAUCUAAUUUCAAACAACUUUUGUUAAAGGCACUUUGACUAAUUCGGAGUGGAAGGAAGUCAAAAACAGCAAUCAAAACCGGAGUACUAAGGAACCCUACAAACCUCCUGAGUCCUAGAAUUCAAGUUUUCCUCCAAAUUUGCAAGCCUUUAUCUCACAAUUUCCUAUCUAAACUCAAGUCAGGACCUAAAUAAAACUUCUAGUCCCUCGAGUGUGUUCCAACUUUGUUACACUGAUCCAGGUCCAAAUCGGGCCAGAACCUGUUCAAAACCUUGGUCAAAGUGAGGCAAAACAGUCAACUCACCCCUGAUGCCCCAAAAUGUUAAGUCUGAAAAACUGCGCAAAGUGCACCUCUUGGCGAGGGCGUUCCUCCAAAUUUCUGAACUAAACUCAAGAAAUACCUUAAAUAAAAGUUGAAUUCCUCAUUUUGGAGAGCAACUCCUUCAACAACACUUUGGUCUAAUUCAACAUGGAAGCUACCCAAAAAUCGACUCAAACAUAGCUAAGUUCCUGAAAUUCCACCUCUCCGGCCAAAUUUGGCUAAGUCUAGAUUUCCAGAUUUUUAGCAAACUUUGGCACGAGAUAUCUCCAAAUUCUUUCACAAUCUAAACCGGCACCUUAAACCAAGUUUGAAAUGCGUUCAGAGUUGAACAAGUUUGUUUAAAAGAGUUUUGGAAGUUGUGUUGCAAAAUCUGGAGUAGGAUCUCCCCAAAACUGGUCGAGCUUGCUGCCUGAAGGGGGCCUCGACUUCCGCGCGCUAGAGCACGUUCGCUCGCGCGCCGCGUGCCGCGUGCCGCGUGCCCGCCAGCCACCGGCAGGUCGCCGACGCCCUAUCACCGGCGAGACAACGACAGGGCGAGCGCCACGGCGCCCAACCCGCGCCUGCGACAGGACGGGGCGAACGCCGGGCUGGCCAACCGCCGGCCGCGCGCGUGUCCUUCUCCCCCUGCCGUGGCUAUGCUCCGCCAACCGCACUCCGCCCAUCCGCCGGAGAAGCCGCCACGCCGACGACGUCCCGCGCCUCCGCCCGCUCGCCCAACCCCCACGGUAGCCCUCCGUUUCGCCCGCCCGACAGACGGAAGCCCCAGACGCGUAUCGCCCAAGGCUAAUCACCGCUCGAGACCACCCGGAGCUCCGCCUCCUCUGCCCAAUGGUGCCGCUGGCCAAUGGCCGCCUCGCUCGCGCACCCGCCGCAUCCGGUCUUAUCCUUCCUCCACCGGAGCCCCGCCUCGACCCUCCGCUCCACCGCUGCCCUAUAAAAAGGUUCCCCUCACCGCUAAGCUUCCGUGGAGCUCACCCCUCCACGCCACCCCGCACUCUGGCGACUUCACCGCCCGCUUCGCCACCCCUCCGCGCAUGUCUCCGAGCAGCUCGUGGCCUCCCCGACACCGCCGGUGCGCCGGAACGCCGCCGCAAGCCAAGCUCUGUCGCCGCUGCCGCAUUCCGAUCCCCGCCGGUCAUCUCUGUCGCCUCAACCCCGCCAAACCGAGCGAGCUCAGGUGAGCCCCCGCACCCCUCCGCCCACUUGUUGCCCCAUCCUCGUCGGCGAACCGCCGGGAAUUUCCCCGCCGCUGCCGCGCGCCCCCCGGGGACUACAUUGCAUCAUCCCCGUUCUUUCCAGGGGCCUGGGCACAAAACUCAGGGACCCCUGCGUAGUUAAACCUUAAACCCAGGGGCUUCUUUCAAGUUGCCACGGCUUUUCUUUUAUAUAAUAGGCAGAAAUAUGGUUGAACUUUGGAAAUGCCUAGUAAAUCGUAGAAAAAUCAUAAAAAUGCCAAACCACUUUUGAUGGAAUCCUUGCUUUGUCUAGUUCCUAAGAAAAAUAAGUUUGCUCAUGUUACUGUGGUAAAUAAUAUCCUAUGCUUUUAAUCAUGGUUUAGGCCUUUUAAAUCCUAAUAAAUAGAAGAACAGUGGGAAAAAUAUGAAACCAACUCUGUGAUGCUUGUUUCUCUGUGUAGAAGCUCAGAAAAAUAGUUAGGUCUCUGGUCUAGCACUUUAAGUCACUGUUUUUACUUUAAAUUGGGAAUCUAAGUAUAAAUCUUCCUUUUUGAAUAAGUUUUGAUCCAGAGCUCGAAAAAAUGUGAAACUAGUUGGGUUUAUUUUGCUUUGCUGUGAAGUUUGCAGGAAAAAUAUAAAUUGUUGUGCAAAUAAGAAAGAAAAACACCUUCCUUGCUAAGUAUGUUUAAUUAAAAAGGGAAAUAGAGUAAAUAGUCAACCUUCUCCAAAAAUUAUUAAAAAUUCACCAAAGCUCCUGUAACCUACCCUUAAUACACUGGUUAAGUUUCACCCCCCGUUGCACGGUAACUUUGAAGAUAGAAAAAGUUAAGUUCAUUUUACCUUUAAUAAUAAAAUGCAUGUAACUUCUUUUUAAGUCAUCCUUUGGCCCCCAAACUUUUACAGUAACCUAGUGAUGGCUUAAGUGAGGUGCUGUAAUUUUAUCAAUGCCUUUAACUACUGUUUGGAUAUGAAGUCAUUUCGGUUAAUUAAUCAACCUAAAGGAAUAAAAGGAAAGCACAAAUUCUAAUUCGAUAAAUAAGUGGAAAUUGAAAGAGGUACAUAAAAACAUUCAGAAGUAAGUAAUUAUUCUAAUGCACCCAAACCACCCAAACACGACCUCUCACUCUCUUUAUGCAACUCUAAAUGCAAGAAAACUAUAUAUGUACACAAUCGCCAUUCAACGCGAACUCAAGUUUAAAACGACCACUUUCGUUUGAAGUUAAAAGAAAGUAAACCUCGCUAAAUUGUGGUGGCUGUUGUGACUCUUUGUCUUAAGCCAUGCCUUGUGUCGUUGAAUAAACGCGCGAGUCCAACUAAACGUUUGCAUGUGCAUGUCGUAUAGAAGCAAAUCUCGCCGACGGAACCUACGAGCUCCACCCGGCACCGGAAGAAGACCCCGCUCUGGAGCUUCACCACUUGGAAGGCGAGCCCGAAUCAGAGCAAGAUCCCGAGGACCCACUAACUUUUCCUGAAGGCAAGCCCCGGUGCAUGAAUUCCCUGUUUUACUUUUAUGCCAAUUACAAUGCAUAUGAUUGUGCAUUUACGUUUGUAGGAGUUGAUUGAAACCGUAGAUGCAUGAACUUAGUACCUUGAUCUGAAUACUAGUUGCUAAGGUCGAGUAGUUGCAAUGCUUAAUAGGUCUCGGUAAAAGUCGAGUGAUUUCCUGUCACUCGCGAGUUAUAGGAAUUGAAUGUUUUAUUUAUGUUGCAACUAUAAGGACGACGGACGGGGUCGGACUUAUGUUCGAUACUUGGUGGUUUGCCCCAUCUGUCUAAAUGAAAUUGGACUAAGGUUGAAACGUGUCGGCGUUCAUGAUCAAGUGUUUGAAAGUACUAAUCUCAUACCUAGUAUGGGAUGGGGAAGCCUGGUACCUGAUUGAACUGGGACGUGGCUUAUACUCCUGCUUAGUCCUUGGAACGUCGUUCCCAUGGUGCAUCAUGUGGGUGCAAUGGCGGUCACAGUACGACAGGGACUGGGACUGUGGAGCAUUGCAUGGUAAAGGCAGUUUGGCCCUGACACGUGCCUAAGGGAUUGAUGGGGACGGCUGACAAAUGAAGCGACCCUCCGUGGUGUGUGGAUGUCGUGAGAUUAGGUUCGCCAUGCAUGGUUAAUAAAUUCGAAUCGAUUCGUCUGCCUCUCACAGUUUGGGACUACUUGAUCGCUAUUCUACACUGAGUAACGAUGAAACAUGAUUACGAGAUGAAGUUGAUGCUUGUUAUUUAACUGCUUGGAAAUCAUGUUUGUUUAGUAUAAGUUGCUAAUCUAGACUGGAUAAAGAACGUAGAACCUGAGCUAAAAUAUUGAAAGUAAGGACUGACAUUAGACGCUUUUUGCAAAGAAAUCCUAGAGCCAGAAAGCCUUGCAUGUCUAGGUCUUGGUCAAGCUUUUCACUCGACGGGUCAGUCUUGCUGAGUAUUAGUUGCUCAGCCUUGUUGUGGCUUAAUCUUUUUAGGUGAUGUCAAUAGUUUGGUUGCUGGUACCACUUGGCCUACCCAGCUCCCUCCGGGUUGGACAGUCUAGUGGGAUCCCUCCUCGGACGGUGAGGGAAGGGACUUUUGAUGUCAUGAUCGGCUUCGUCGUGAUGUCAUGUAUCGACGUUUAGCUUCCGCUUGUUUUAUCCGACUUUUCGAACCCUGCAACUUAUUUGGAUUUCAGAAACUCUGAUGUAAUAAUUUGUGAGACUAAGUUAAUGUGAUGGAAUGUUGUAAUCUUUGUGCUACUCACCUUCGUGUGAGCGAUGCUUCUCGAUCCUGUUGAUAUGGUUUAUCGGAUGAAAUCUGACGGUCGACCAGGUUGGCUUGCUUAAAGUGCAUGAUCGCAUGUCAGACGACUCCAAUGCAUUUUAGUCAGGUUAAUUUGGGCGGUUCCGCCACAGCUGGUAUCAAAGCUCGAAGCACGGUACGGAGAACAACAAACCUUAAAACAUUUUUUCUAACUAAAAUUUGCAAGAAACGAGUCGAGAAAAUUGUAAGUUCGUUAAGGAUGAGUUGAGUACGAGGAGCCCUAGGGGAUUUUUGGGUCUUUUAAGGUGGCUAAUAAUUAUUGGUUAUCUUCUGACUUCCAGCACUUGUUGCCACGUCUAUCAUAUGUGUGCUGAGGUCCGCAUCGCGAGUAUGCGAAGGGUGAUAGGAAUUCGAUUCCAACGAGUCUAUCAUCACGGUUGUUUCGCCCACGUCUAUUAUACGUGCGCAGGUUCCGUAUGUUAAUGCAUGCGAAGGAUGGUAUGGUUCGAUUCCAACGAGCCUACCAUCACGGUUGUUCGCCCACGUCUAUUAUACGUGUGCAUGAUUCCGCAUCACGAGAAUGCGAAGGGUUAUAGGGUUCUAUUCAAAGGAACCUAUUUCCACGGUUGUUGCGCUGUCCAUGCAGCGUUAAACGUAUGGGUGCCGUUUCUAUAUUGAACGGUAAUGAUUGUAAAUGCUUUCGUGAGUGCUGGCACGGAAGGUUCAAGCUGUGAUGUGUUUUUCUGCAGGUACACUAACAACGUUGCGUACGAAACGAUACUAGUAACUCGACUAGUUAUUAUAGUGAGAGUCGUAUUGUUGCCUUGCCACCGGCACUAACCACGUAAGUCCAAAGAUUUUUGGAAAUUAUUUUUGGUUGAGAGGACGACUAGGACGUGCAUGCAUUAAGAAAUAAAAAUCGCAACCUAAGGCAAUAAAACCAAGCUCGAGUGCGUCGUAAAAAGAAAUGCACUGCGAUAAGGAUUGUCUAGUUGUCCUUUUUCCGCCAUGCACGUUUAAAUAAAUCUUUCAGGUUGAUCUGCAUGAUAACUCCAGAAACUUUAUAUAAGAAAUUUGUGUUAAAUCUCCCAAGUAAACUGCUAAAAAAUUUUUUCACAAAGAACUACCACUUGGGUUGAGAGUUGUGACCAGUUUUGUGACCCAUGUUGGCUGUUAGCCCUAAGUGCACACCAGUUGAAAUUCUGCUGUUCGACCACCUUAAGGACUUUUUCUGCUAGGAGUCCCUUAAUCAAAGUUUCUCAGAACUUAAUAAGUAAUUGACUGGUAAAAUUUCAGCUUUAUUAGGUCUCUGGUUUUGAAGUUAUGUUCAGUUUACUUUGACUCGGGUCUGAAAAAUUUCAGCAUGUACACUUAAUGGGAAUCUGAGAUUAUCACCUUGUUAGGUUCUGUUCUAGCCCUACCUUUGAAUACCAAACUUGUUACAUACUAUCUAAAGAACAUGCUGGUAAAAUUUGAGAAAUUUUGGAUGAAUACUUGCUGAGUUAUGAGCUUUUCUCUAACUGCCAGAAAUCUGUUUUGAUUUCCAAGUGUUAACUCCGUUUCUCACUUGUCCCUUGGUUACAGAUGGCUCAGCCCGUGCACGUUGCAGUCGGUACGGAUGGCACCACCUACUCACGGUGCCUUCACUACGAGGGUUUCCCACCCAUACUGUGGGACACCUUGCGUUCUUUUGGGUACCUGUCACUGCCGGUUUACGCGGGAUGUGCGUACCAGGACCGCGGGAUUCCGCGGAGUCGCGUGCACGUAUGGGUGCCCCCGCCUCCAGAUCAGCCACAGUGGCCACUGUUGGAGGUGGUGGCCGAGGGACACACGCUAUAGGACACCUGGGAGUUCGCAGCCUUGCAGACCCUGACACAGUUCUGCCAAGCACACCCUCUUGAGAUCGUGCUGGACCCGAUUGGGUUGUUCCCUGCCCGGGAUACGAGGGACCAGGACUGGUUGGAUCGUAUGGAGCAUAUGGACUUGCUCGGGGUUAUGGAUCCACAACGCACGAUUUUUGUUUCAGCUCGUUGCUUGAACGUGUUCUACAGGAUGGUCGAGAUGCAGAGCCGAGCGAUGGCUACGAUCAGGAUGGCAGUGGCCAACCAGGUCGCUUUAUCUGCCGUGCAGAGUGGCAUGGUGGACCAGUCGCUCGAGCUAGUAUAGAAGGAUGUCCAGAUUGUUGAGAUGCAGGACAAGAUCACUCGUUUGGAGGAGUAGAUCGUGGAUAUGGAGCACGAUAUGGAGAUCUUGGCUAACCAGUUCUAUGAUGUGAACAUGGAGCUGGCGAACGCCAAUGAGCACCUGCAAGAGCAUCACGAUGAGCUUAAUGCUAUUCACGCUUUAGAGAUGCAGCAGGAUGAGCUGAUGGCCCAGGAGGAGGAGCCCGAGGAGAUCGAGGGCUUUUUGAGCAUGGACUAUGAGGAGGCCUCUCCGCAGCCUCCAGUUGGCAAUGCUCACUCUCCGGUCCUUAGCUUUGCCUCCGUGGGCAACCUCGACGACUUCUAGUUGUGUUGACUUGUUGUUGAGCGGUUCUCUUUUGUUUUUGCUCCUUGCCGACCUAUAUUUUGGCCAGUGAUGUAAUAGGUUAGCUUGAGUUGAGUAUUUCGAUGUUGAAAAACUGAUUCUAUGUAGGAUUGCCAUUGCUAUCUUUAGUGUAAUGUCUGAAAUUUAUGGCAGAACUGCAGUGACUGUUUCUCCUCAGUUUUAACCCUGUCUUCACUCAUUUUUGAGCCAAAGUUUGAAUACCAAAGUUGUGCAGAAACUUCUGUUCCAACUACUCGUAAAUUUUCAGCUCCUUAGGAUUUGUCAAAUGCCCGCUAGAGCCAAAACCCCACUGCUCAGCUUGCUGAAAAAUCAGCCGGACAGCAACUUGCUAGAACAUCUAAACGACCCCUUUCCCUUCCUUUUUGGUCAACAAGCGUAACAUGAAAGUGGUGGUGUACGAUAUAUUCUAACCCUCGCUUAAGGAUGAGGACCUUGUGCACUUCGAAGAAGAGAUAUGCACCUACUCAAUAAAAGUUUUGAUUGUUGCUUUUGCACCAUCGGCAAGACUAGCGUUUAUCAUUUCCACACAUAAUGUUUCCUUAUGGUUAAACAAGGUUUUGGGGCUAUGUGACUAAUGGAAAGGUGAAUCUUGUAGAUGGCGCAUUGCACACGCUCCGGCUCCGUUCCCAGUGGCAGCGAGGUGCCUCCCCCACCUCUGCCUCCAACCACCCUCGAGGCGAUCUUGGCGGCUCAAACCGAGCUACUGAGGCACAUCGCUCAGGGGCAGCAGCAGCAGCCCCAGGGAGGAAGGGCCCAUCAGCAGCCUCAUUUUGCUCGCUACGAGGACUUUCUGGGGACCCAGCCUCCUCUGUUCCACAAGACGGAGGACCCGCUUGACGCUGAUGCCUAGAUUCGUUCUAUCGAGUCCAAGUUCUCCCUUCUCACCGCCCAUUGCCCGGAUGAGAAUAAGGUUCGGUUCGCCGCGCAGCAGUUGCAUGGUUCUGCUCUCCUGUGGUGGGAUCACUACCAUGCCAUGCAGCCGGCCGACCACGUCGUCGGCUGGGAGGAAUUCAAGACGGCGUUCAGGGGCCAUCACAUCCCUGAGGGUCUUCUGGAGCGCAAGCUCAAUGAGUUCCUGGCUCUCACCCAGGGAGGCCACGAUGUCCUGCACUAUGUGCAGGCUUUCAAUGACCUGUGUCGCUAUGCAGGCUACCAUGCGGACUCCGAUGAGAAGAAGAGGGACCGCUUCCGCAGAGGCUUGAGCCUGGAGCUCAAGGAAAGGCUGAAUCCCAUCAAGGUGGAUUCCUACAAUGAAAUGGUGAACCUGGCAAUUUCCUAGGAAGAUUGCAUGAGGGCCCUCAAGGCCGACAUGAAGCAGAAGGAUCCAAUGCCGGCACCCGGCCCACCUGCCCAGAAAUACAGAAUGGUUCCCCCACAGGUGCCUCGCAGGCCCGCCCAGCCUGGGAGAUGGGUUGCUCAACCUCCACCGCAGGCAGCACCUCGUUUCCCCGGAUUCCAGCCACAAGGGCCCCGACCUACUCUCCCUAUGCCGCCACGCCCAGUCACUGGAAACCGCUGUUUCACCUGCAGGAACCCAGGACACUUUGCCAAGGACUGCCCCCACAACAAGAAUCAACGACCUGGUCAGAGCAAUGCACUGGGCAACAAGGGGAAGAAGCCGAGGGUUCAGGUCCGACAAGGCAGGCUGAACUUCACCACCCUUGCUGAACUUCCAGAGGGCGCACCAGUGAUGACGGGUAUCUUCUCUGUCCAUAAUCAACCUGUCCUUAUUCUGUUUGAUUCGGGAGCAUCUCAUAGUUUUAUUGGGUCCAAAACCUAUGCUAAGUGUGGCCUAGGGUUCUGUCAUACAAAAGGGGCUUAUAUAAUCACUACACCCGGUGGGAAAGUAUCCUCAUACCAGUUGACCCGCCAGGUACCUAUAACUCUAGGAAAGACCCUUUUUAAGGAAAACCUUCUUAUCCUGGGGAUGGAAGGAAUAGAUAUUAUCUUGGGUAUGGAUUGGAUGACUUGGCAUCGAGUGGCACUAGACAUCCCUGCCAGAGCCAUCCAUAUAAAUUCACCCAUUUAUGGUAGCUCAAUCAUACACUUACCCCACCGAGAGUGCCAAACUUCUUGUGCCUAUCCCGUGACUGAAGCUCGUUUGGAAGACAUCCCAGUGGUGUGCGAGUACCCCGAUGUGUUUCCAGAUGAUUUGCCGAGUAUGCCGCCUGAUAGAGAUAUGGAGUUUGCUAUUGAGUUGCAGCCAGGUACUGCCCCAAUUUCGAAGAGACCGUAUCGGAUGCCACCAGCCGAGCUGACAGAAAUGAAAACUCAGUUGCAUGAUUUGUUGGAAAAGGGUUUUAUUCGUCCAAGCACAUCACCUUGGGGUUGCCCCGCCUUGUUCGUGAAAAAGAAGGACGAUAGUCUACGUAUGUGUGUGGACUACCGACCUCUCAAUGCGGUGAUGAUAAAGAACAAGUACCCACUACCCCGCAUUGAUGUUCUGUUCGAUCAGUUAGCUGGAGCUAGAGUGUUUUCCAAAAUUGACCUCCGUUCUGGCUACCAUCAAAUCAAGAUCCGCUCGUGCGACAUUCCUAAGACUGCCUCCUCUACACGGUAUGGACUCUAUGAGUACUUAGUCAUGUCAUUUGGGCAACGCUUAAGAGAUCACCAACUCUAUGCCAAAUUCUCUAAGUGUGACUUCUGGCUGGACAGUGUUAAAUUCUUGGGGCACACCAUAUCUAGAGAUGGUAUAGCAGUAGACCCAAGCAAAGUGCAAGAAGUAAUGGACUGGAAGCUGUCCACUUCAGUUCAUCAGAUUCGAAGUUUUCUCGGGUUAGUAGGUUACUACCGUCGCUUCAUUCCUGACUUCUCAAAAAUAGCUAAGCCAAUGACGGAACUGCUGAAGAAGGAAAUUAAGUUUGUGUGGAGCGACAAAUGUGAAGAAGCCUUCCACACCCUGAGACAAUUGCUGACCUCUGCGCCGGUUUUAGCUCAACCCGACACCACCAGGCCGUUUGACGUAUAUUGCGAUGCCUCUGGCACUGGACUUGGUUGUGUUCUUAUGCAAGACAGCCGAGCCAUUGCCUAUGCCUCGCGAGCGCUACGGCCACAUGAGUUGAAUUACCCUACCCAUGAUCUCGAGUUAGCAGCAGUCGUUCAUGCUCUGAAAAAAUGGAGGCAUUAUCUUAUGGGAACUCGAUGCAACAUCUAUACAGAUCACAAGAGUCUUAAGUAUAUCUUCACUCAAGCAGACCUCAACAUGCAUCAGAGAAGAUGGUUAGAAUGAAUCAAAGAUUAUGACCUAGAAGUGCAUUAUCACCCAGGCAAGGCCAACGUGGUUGCGGAUGCUCUCAGCCGCAAGAUCCAUUGUAACUGCUUAUCGGCGAUUAAUUAUGCUGAGACCCUAUGUCAUGAAAUGGCUAAGCUCAACUUGGAAAUUGUUCCCCACGGUACCUUAAGUCAUAUUUCUCUGGAGCCUACCCUGCUUGACCAAAUAAUUCUAGCACAACUAGAGGAUGAAGAGAUAAACCUUAUCAAAGAGAAACUCGCAUAGGAGGAUGAGGGAUAUAAGCAUUUCCAACAGGAUUGGAAAGGAGUGGUACAUUAUGAAGCUCGACUUGUAGUUCCAAAUGAUCCCGAUCUUAAGAAAUAAAUUCUGGACGAAGCACACCUUUCCAAGUUCUCGAUCCACCCUGGUAGUACCAAGAUGUACCACGACCUCCGACAAAAUUUCUAGUGGAGUGGGAUGAAACCUGACAUUGCACGAUAUGUUUCAGAGUGUGAUACCUGUCAGCGAGUCAAAGCAAGCCACUUGAGGGUAGCUGGCCCCUUGCAGCCGCUGCCUAUUCCCUCAUGGAAGUGGGAGGACAUAAGCAUGGACUUUAUAGUCGGACUACCCAAUACCUCUCGCAAGCAUGAUUCCAUAUGGGUUAUAGUAGACCGACUUACCAAAACAACGCAUUUCCUUCCAGUACACACCACGCACGCCAUACAGAAAUAUGCAGAACUAUACCUUGACCGGAUUGUUUCCUUGCGUGGUGUACCUAAGAUGAUCAUCUCUGAUCGAGGUAGUUAGUUCGUAGCAUGCUUUUGGGAGCAGUUGCAGUUAUCACUUGGCACUAAAUUGAUUCGUAGUUCCACAUAUCAUCCUCAAACCGAUGGACAAACUGAAAGGGUUAACCAGAUUUUGGAAGAUAUGCUACGCACCUAUGCUAUUCAUUAUGACAAGAACUGGGAUAAGUGUUUGCCAUAGGCGGAGUUCUCAUACAACAAUAGUUAUCAAGCUAGCUUGAAAAUGGCGCCUUUUGAAGCCUUGUAUGGACGUAGAUGCCGAACCCCGCUAAGUUGGUCGCAACCUGGUGAGCGAACAGUGUAUGGACCUGACCUGGUCAUGGAGGCCGAAGAAAAAGUAAGAGUUAUCCGCGAAAAUCUCAAGGCCGCCCAGUCUCGACAAAAGAGCUAUUCCAAUCAAAGAAGAAGACCUAUCCAAUUUGAGGUUGGGGAUUUUGUAUACCUACGGGUCUCACCGACCAAAGGCGUACAACGUUUUGGAGUAAAAGGAAAGUUGGCUCCGCGCUAUAUUGGUCCCUAUGAGAUUGUAGAAGUUUGUGGACUCGAAGCGUAUCGAGUUAAACUUCCAGAGAAGAUUGCAGCGAUACACGAUGUUUUCCAUGUCUCACAACUCAAAAAGUGCAUUCAGGUUCCAACUGAAAUCAUCUCCUCGAAAGAAUUGGAGAUCGAACCCGAUUUAACAUACAAGGAGUAUCCUGUUAAGAUCCUUGACCGGAAGGAAAGACAUACUCGUAGGCAAAUGGUAAAAAUGUACAAAAUUUAGUAGAGUAACCAUAUGGAAGACGAAGCGACAUGGGAGACGGAAGAGUAUCUCAACACUAACUUCCGCGGUUUUCUUUUCGACCAGGGAGGUACGUUGCACCGGCCACACUAAUUCCUUUCUGCACUUGAAUCUCAGGGCGAGAUUUCUUUAAGGGGGGUAGGCUGUAACAAAUCUACCUAAAUUAAGUGAUUUGAAAAGUAAACCAGUGGUUAAUCCCUAAUUAAAGAGGUGAAAUGACCAUUUUAACCCUAAGAAGCUCUUUUUGGAGUUUGAAAUAAAACAUGGAAUUUUAUAUGCAAACUUAAAAUUCUGCCCAAAUAAGAGUUGUAAACUUUUAAUUUCAAACAACUUUUGUUAAAGGCACUUUGACUAAUUCGGAGUGCAAGGAAGUCAAAAACAGCAAUCAAAACUGGAUUACUAAGGAACCCUAUAAACCUCCCAAGUCGUGGAAUUCAAGUUUUCCUCCAACUUUGCAAGCCUUUAUCUCACGAUUUCCUAUCUAAAAUCAAGUCAGGCCCUAAAUAAAAGUUGUAGUCCCCCGAGUUUGUUCCAACUUUGUUACACUAACCCAGGUCCAAAUCGGGCCAGAACCUGUUCAAAACCUUGGUCAAAGUGAGGCAAAAUAGUCAACUCACCCCUCAUGCCCCAAAAUGCUAAGUCUGAAAAACUGCGCAGAGUGCACCUCUUGGCGAGGGCGUUCCUCCAAAUUUCUGAACUAAACUCAAGAAAUACCCUAAAUAAAAGUUGAAUUACUCAGUCUGGAGAGCAACUCAUUCAAUAACACUUUGAUAUAAUUCAACAUGGAAGCUGCCCAAAAAUCGACUCAAACAUAGCUAAGUUCCUGAAAUUCCACCUCUCCGGCCAAAUUUGGCUAAGUCUGGAUUUCCAGAUUUUUAGCAAACUUUGGCAUGAGAUAUCUCCAAAUCCUUUCACAAUCUAAACCGGCACCUUAAACCAAGUUUGAAUGCAUCCAGAGUUGAAUAAGUUUGUUUAAAAGAGUUUUGGAAGUUGUGUUGCAAAAUCUGGAGUAGGAUCUCCCAAAAGCUGGUCGGGCUUGCUUCACGAAGGGGGACUCGACGCGCGCGUGCCAGAGCACGUUCGCCCGCGCGCUGCGCGCCGCGUGGCUGCCGGCCACCGGCAGCUCGCCAGUGCCCUAUCACUGGCGAGACAGCGACAGGGCGAGGGCCACGGCGCCCAACCCGCGCCUGCGACAGGACGGGGCGAACGCCGGGCUGGCCAACCGCCGGCCGCACGCGUGUCCUUCUCCCCCUGCCGCGGCUCUGCUCCGCCAACCGCGCUCCGCCCGUCCGCUGGAGAAGCCACCACGCCAACGAUGUCCCGCGCCUCCGCCCGCUCGCCCAACCCCCACGGUAGCCCUCCGUUUCGCCCGCCCGAUAGACCGGAAGCCCCAGAUGCGCAUCGCCUAAGGCCAAUCACCACCGGAGACCACCCGGAGCUCCGCCUCCUCUACCCAAUGGCGCCGCUGGCCAGUGGCCACCUCGCUCGCACACCCGCCGCAUCCGGCCUUAUCCACCUCGACCCUCCGCUCCAUCGCUGCCCUAUAAAAAGGUCCCCCUCACCGGCAGCGCCACCCCUUUGCCACCGCCCACAAUCGCACCACCGCUUCCUCCUCUGCGCCGCCGCUAAGCUUCCGUGGAGCUCACCCCUCUGCGCCACCCCGCACUCCGGCGACUUUACCGCCCACUUCGCCACCCCUCCGCGCACGUCUCUGAGCAGCUCGUGGCCUCCCGACACCGCCGGUGCGCCGGAACGCCGCCUGCACCGCCGCCAGCCAAGCUCUGUCGCCGCUGCCACGUUCCGAUCCCCGCCGGUCAUCUCCGUCGCCCCAACCCCGCCAAACCGAGCUCAGGUGAGCCCCCGCACCCCUCCGGCCACUUGUUGCCCCAUCCUCGCCGGCGAACCGCCGGGAAUUUCCCUGCCGCCGCCGCGCGCGCCCCGGGGACUACAUUGCAUCGUCCCUGUUCUUUCCAGGGGCCUGGGCGCAAAACACAGGGACCCCUGCGUAGUUAAACCUUAAACCCAGGGGCUUGCUUGCAAGUUGCCACGGCUUUUCUUUUAUAUAAUAGGUAGAAAUAUGGUUGAACUUUGGAAAUGCCUAGUAAAUCGUAGAAAAAUCAUAAAAAUACCAAACAACUUUUGUUGGAAUCCUUGCUCUGUCUAGUUCCUAAGAAAAAUAAGUUUGCUCAUGUUACUGUGGUAAAUAAUAUCCUAUGCUUUUAAUCAUGGUUUAGGCCUUUUAAAUCCUAAUAAAUAGAAGAACAGUGGGAAAAAUAUGAAACCAACUCUGUGAUGCUUGUUUCUCUGUGUAAAAGUUUAGAAAAAUGGUUAGGGCUCUUGUCUAGCACUUUAAAUCACUGUUUUGACUUUAAAUUGGGAAUCUAAGUAUAAAUCUUCCUUUUUGCAUAAGUUUUGAUCCAGAGCUCAAAAAAAUGUGGAACUAGUUGGGUUAAUUUUGUUUUGCUGUGAAGUUUGCAGGAAAAAUAUAAAUUGUUGUGCAAAUCAGAAAGAAAAACACCUUCCUUGCUAAGUAUGUUUUAUUAAAAAGGGAAAUAGAGUAAAUAGUCAACCUUCUCCAAAAAUUAUUAAAAAUUCACCAAAGCUCCUGUAACCUACCCUUAAUACACUGGUUAUGUUUCACCCCCUGUUGCACAGUAACUUUGAAGAUAGAAAAAGUUAAGUUCAUUUUACCUUUAAUAGUAAAAUGCAUGUAACUUGUUUUUAAGUCAUCAUUUGGCCCCCAAGCUUUUACAGUAACCUAGUGAUGGCUUAAGUGAGGUGCUGUAAUUUUAUCAAUGCCUUUAACCACUAUAUGGAUAUGAAGUCAUUUCGGUUAAUUAAUCAACCUAAAGGAAUAAAAGGAAAGCACAAAUUCUAAUUCGAUAAAUAAGUGGAAAUUGAAAGAGGUACAUAAAAACAUUCAGAAGUAAGUAAUUAUUCUAAUGCACCCAAACCACCCAAACACGACCUCUCACUCUCUUUAUGCAACUCUAAAUGCAAGAAAACUAUAUAUGUACACAAUCGCCAUUCAACGCGAACUCAAGUUUAAAACGACCACUUUCGUUUGAAGUUAAAAGAAAGUAAACCUCACCAAAUUGUUGUGGCUGUUGUGACUCUUUGUCUUAAGCCAUGCCUUGUGUCGUUGAAUAAACGCAUGAGUCCAACUAAACGUUUGCAUGUGCAUGUCGUAUAGAAGCAAAUCUCGCCGACGGAACCUACGAGCUCCACCCGACACCGGAGAAGACCCCGCUGCGGAGAUUCACCACUUGGAAGGCGAGCCCGAACCGGAGCAAGAUCCUGAGGACCCGCUAACUUUUCCUGAAGGCAAGCCCCAGUGCAUGAAUUCCCUGUUUUACUUUUAUGCCAAUUACAAUGCGUAUGAUUGUGCAUUUACGUUUGUAGGAGUUGAUUGAAACCGUAGAUGCAUGAACUUAGUACCUUGAUCUGAAUACUAGUUGCUAAGGUCGAGUAGUUGCAAUGCUUAAUAGAUCUCGGUAAAAGUCGAGUGAUUUCCUGUCACUCGCGAGUUAUAGGAAUUGAAUGUUUUAUUUAUGUUGCAACUAUAAGGACGACGGACGGGGUCGGGCAUAUGUUCGAUACUUGGUGGUUUGCCCCAUCUGUCUAAAUGAAAUUGGACUAAGGUUGAAACGUGUCGGCGUUCAUGAUCAAGUGUUUGAAAGUACUAAUCUCAUACCUAGUAUGGGAUGGGGAAGCCUGGUACCUGAUUGAACUUGGACGUGGCUUAUACUCUUGCUUAGUCCUUCGAACGUCGUUCCCAUGGUGCAUCAUGUGGGUGCAAUGGCGGUCACAGUACGACAGAGACCGGGACUGUGGAGCAUUGCAUGCUAAAGGCAGUUUGGCCUUGACACGUGCCUAAGGGAUUGAUGGGGACGGCUGACAAAUGAAGCGACCCUCUGUGGUGCGCGGAUGUCGUGAGAUUAGGUUCGCCAUGCAUGGUUAAUAAAUUCGAAUCGAUUCAUCUGCCUCUCACAGUUUGGGACUACUUGAUCGCUAUUAUGCACUGAGUAACGAUGAAACAUGAUUACGAGAUGAAGUUGAUGCUUGUUAUUUAACUGCUUGGAAAUCAUGUUUGUUUAGUAUAAGUUGCUAAUCUAGACUGGAUAAAGAACGUAGAACAUGAGCUAAAAUAUUCAAAGUAAGGACCGACUUUAGACGCUUUUGGCAAAGAAAUCCCAGAGCCAGAAAGCCUUGCAUGUCUAGGUCUUGGUCAAGCUUUUCACUCGACGGGUCAGUCUUGCUGAGUAUUAGUUGCUCAGCCUUGUUGUGGCUUAAUCUUUUCAGGUGAUGUCAAUAGUUUGGUUGCUGGUACCACUUGGCCUACCCAGCUCCCUCCGGGCUGGACAGUCGAGUGGGAUCCCUACUCGGACGGCGAGGGAAGGGAUUUUUGAUGUCAUGAUCGGCUCCGUCGUGAUGUCAUGUAUCGACGUUUAGCUUCCGCUUGUUUUAUCCGACUUUUCGAACCCUGCAACUUAUUUGAAUUUCAGAAACUUUGAUGUGAUAAUUUGUGAGACUAAGUUAAUGUGAUGGAAUGUUGUAAUCUCUGUGCUACUCACCUUCGUGUGAGCGAUGCUUCUUGAUCCUGUUGAUGUGGUUUAUCGGAUGAAAUCCGAUGGUCGACCAGGUUGGCUUGCUUAAAGUGCAUGAUCGCGUGUCAGGCGACUCCAAUGCAUUUUAGUCACGUUAAUUUGGGCGGUUCCGCCACAACCUUCCUCUUCAAUAGCUUUCUUUCUAGUUCUGAGUGUGUAUUAGAAACGGAGUUUAUGCUACACACAUCAUAACUCACAGCCUAUAUUUACAUGCUUUUUAUGAUAGAACUUUUCAUAGCCAACCUACUUGAAAGGCCUAGCCACAAGAGUGCCUCCCCGAUAAGUGGUUGUCUACUUCCUUGAAGCCCUACUUCCCUUGAGAAUUUCUUUAAACAAGUAUUGGC